AUUACCACGCCGAUCACCCUUUUCGAGCCGCUUCAGACGAUGCGAGGACGAACCACCAUGAAAAGAAGUCAAAGAAGGAAGCAGAGGGCCAAGGAAGAGAUCAAUAGGUACCGAAGGCAUACUGAAUGCUCUUCGAAACCCUAAUUUUCGUAGGGUCUAACAAAACCUCAGAUUUGCGAGCCAAGAGCUUGAAGAAAACUUUGUAAAGAAAUCGAAAAUGUGAGAAUCAAAACACAAAGGUUGAGAACAUGAGAACCUGAAAUCGUUGAAUCAAAAGGACAAGCCGGAAAUCAUCUGAUCCGUAACAUGAUGAAAAAGAUCGGCGGAGAUGCGGCGGCGGCGGAGGCGGAGGCGGAGGUGAAUCGGAUAAUUUUGGGAGGAUGAGGUCGAAAAUGGUGGCGGAAUUGGG
This 409-nucleotide unclassified non-coding RNA is filed under the name Hevea brasiliensis (rubber tree). Lineage: Eukaryota; Viridiplantae; Streptophyta; Magnoliopsida; Malpighiales; Euphorbiaceae. The record is from RNAcentral.